RNAcentral lists this transfer RNA (73 nucleotides) under Strongylocentrotus purpuratus (purple sea urchin). It matches the Rfam family "tRNA". Rfam says of the family: Transfer RNA (tRNA) molecules are approximately 80 nucleotides in length. Their secondary structure includes four short double-helical elements and three loops (D, anti-codon, and T loops). Lineage: Eukaryota; Metazoa; Echinodermata; Echinoidea; Camarodonta; Strongylocentrotidae. The record is from Rfam by way of RNAcentral.
GGCAUGGUGGCUCAGUGGCAAGAGCGCCCGCCUCAUGAACGGGAGGUCAUGAGUUCGAACCCCGGCCGAGUCA